UCGGGAAUUUUGGGCAAUGGGCGAAAGCCUGACCCAGCAACGCCGCGUGAAGGAUGAAAUCCCUCGGGAUGUAAACUUCGCAAGAACAGGAAGAAUAAACCGGUGCCAACACCACCGGCGAUGACGGUACUGUUUGUAAGCUCCGGCUAACUCCGUGCCAGCAGCCGCGGUAAUACGGGGGGAGCAAGCGUUGUUCGGAUUUACUGGGCGUAAAGGGCGCGUAGGCGGCCACCGCAAGUCGGUUGUGAAAUCUCUGGGCUUAACUCGGAAAGGUCAGCCGAUACUGCGGGGCUAGAGUGCAGAAGGGGCAACUGGAAUUCUCGGUGUAGCGGUGAAAUGCGUAGAUAUCGAGAGGAACACCUGCGGCGAAGGCGGGUUGCUGGGCUGACACUGACGCUGAACUGCGAAAGCUAGGGGAGCGAACGGGAUUAGAUACCCCGGUCGUCCUAGCCUUAAACGAUGAAUGCUUGGUGUCUGGGGUUUUAUAGUCCCCGGGUGCCGUCGCUAACGCUUUAAGCAUUCCGCCUGGGGAGUACGGUCGCAAGACUGC
Molecule: ribosomal RNA, 550 nt
Filed under: uncultured Acidobacteriota bacterium
Lineage: Bacteria; Pseudomonadati; Acidobacteriota
Description: bacterial SSU rRNA
Rfam family: Bacterial small subunit ribosomal RNA
Source: RNAcentral